AGCUUUUAACAACGGAUCUCUUGGUUCUGGCAUCGAUGAAGAACGCAGCGAAAUGCGAUAAGUAAUGUGAAUUGCAGAAUUCAGUGAAUCAUCGAAUCUUUGAACGCACAUUGCGCCCCUUGGUAUUCCGGGGGGCAUGCCCGUUCGAGCGUC
Molecule: ribosomal RNA, 153 nt
Filed under: uncultured fungus
Lineage: Eukaryota; Fungi
Description: 5.8S ribosomal RNA
Rfam family: 5.8S ribosomal RNA
About the family: 5.8S ribosomal RNA (5.8S rRNA) is a component of the large subunit of the eukaryotic ribosome. It is transcribed by RNA polymerase I as part of the 45S precursor that also contains 18S and 28S rRNA. Functionally, it is thought that 5.8S rRNA may be involved in ribosome translocation.
Source: RNAcentral